Molecule: ribosomal RNA, 253 nt
Filed under: uncultured bacterium
Lineage: Bacteria
Description: partial 16S ribosomal RNA
Rfam family: Bacterial small subunit ribosomal RNA
Source: RNAcentral
UACGAAGGGGGCUAGCGUUGCUCGGAAUCACUGGGCGUAAAGCGCACGUAGGCGGAUUGUUAAGUCAGGGGUGAAAUCCUGGAGCUCAACUCCAGAACUGCCUUUGAUACUGGCGAUCUUGAGUCCGGGAGAGGUGAGUGGAACUGCGAGUGUAGAGGUGAAAUUCGUAGAUAUUCGCAAGAACACCAGUGGCGAAGGCGGCUCACUGGACCGGAACUGACGCUGAGGCGCGAAAGCGUGGGGAGCAAACAGG